GGCGCACGGGUUGAGUAACGCGUUGGGUAACCUACCCUUGAAUCUGGAAUAACCCGCCGAAAGGCGGACUAAUACCGGAUAUCGUUCCGGAGACGCAUGCCUUCGGUAUGAAAGGUGACCUCUUCAUGAAAGUUGCCGUUCGGGGACGGGCUCGCGUACCAUUAGCUAGUUGGUAGGGUAAUGGCCUACCAAGGCGACGAUGGUUAGCUGGUCUGAGAGGAUGAUCAGCCACACUGGAACUGGAACACGGUCCAGACUCCUACGGGAGGCAGCAGUGAGGAAUUUUGCGCAAUAGGGGAAACCCUGACGCAGCAACGCCGCGUGAGUGAAGAAGGCCUUCGGGUCGUAAAGCUCUGUC
This 358-nucleotide ribosomal RNA is filed under the name uncultured delta proteobacterium. RNAcentral's name for it is "bacterial SSU rRNA". It matches the Rfam family "Bacterial small subunit ribosomal RNA", at positions 97 to 437 of the family's 1533-position model. The record is from RNAcentral. Lineage: Bacteria; Deltaproteobacteria.